This 393-nucleotide ribosomal RNA is filed under the name uncultured bacterium. RNAcentral's name for it is "partial 16S ribosomal RNA". It matches the Rfam family "Bacterial small subunit ribosomal RNA", at positions 523 to 918 of the family's 1533-position model. The record is from RNAcentral.
CUACGGAGGAUCCGAGCGUUAUCCGGAUUUAUUGGGUUUAAAGGGAGCGUAGGUGGAUAGUUAAGUCAGUUGUGAAAGUUUGCGGCUCAACCGUAAAAUUGCAGUUGAUACUGGCUGUCUUGAGUACAGUAGAGGUGGGCGGAAUUCGUGGUGUAGCGGUGAAAUGCUUAGAUAUCACGAAGAACUCCGAUUGCGAAGGCAGCUCACUGGACUGCAACUGACACUGAUGCUCGAAAGUGUGGGUAUCAAACAGGAUUAGAUACCCUGGUAGUCCACACAGUAAACGAUGAAUACUCGCUGUUUGCGAUAUACAGUAAGCGGCCAAGCGAAAGCAUUAAGUAUUCCACCUGGGGAGUACGCCGGCAACGGUGAAACUCAAAGGAAUUGACGGGG